UACGAAGGUGGCAAGCGUUGUUCGGAUUUACUGGGCGUAAAGGGAGCGUAGGUGGUUAGGUAAGCCCUCCGGGAAAUCUUCAGGCUUAACCUGAAAAGGUCGGGGGGGACUGCCUGGCUAGAGUCCGGAAGAGGCGAGUGGAACUCCUGGUGUAGCGGUGGAAUGCGCAGAUAUCAGGAAGAACACCAACGGCGAAGGCAGCUCGCUGGGACGGUACUGACGCUGAGACGCGAAAGCGUGGGGAGCGAACAGG
RNAcentral lists this ribosomal RNA (253 nucleotides) under uncultured bacterium. Its description in RNAcentral is "partial 16S ribosomal RNA". It matches the Rfam family "Bacterial small subunit ribosomal RNA", at positions 524 to 776 of the family's 1533-position model. The record is from RNAcentral.